Molecule: ribosomal RNA, 447 nt
Filed under: uncultured bacterium
Lineage: Bacteria
Description: bacterial SSU rRNA
Rfam family: Bacterial small subunit ribosomal RNA
Source: RNAcentral
UCGAGGAUCUUCGUCAAUGGGGGAAACCCUGAACGAGCGAUGCCGCGUGAGCGAUGAAGCCCUUCGGGGUGUAAAGCUCUUUCGGCAGGGAAGAUAAUGACGGUACCUGCAGAAUCAGCUGCGGCUAACUACGUGCCAGCAGCCGCGGUAAUACGUAGGCAGCGAGCGUUGUUCGGAGUUACUGGGCGUAAAGGGUGUGUAGGCGGUGCUCUAAGUGUGGUGUGAAAUCUCCCGGCUCAACUGGGAGGGUGCGCUACGAACUGGAGUGCUCGAGUGCGGGAUGGGAGAGUGGAAUUCCUGGUGUAGCGGUGAAAUGCGUAGAUAUCAGGAGGAACACCGGUGGUGUAGACGGCUCUCUGGACCGCAACUGACGCUGAGACACGAAAGCGUGGGUAGCAAACAGGAUUAGAUACCCAUGUAGUCCCUGAGCGGGCUGGCAAGGCGCAU